GGUGGCUCAGUGGUAGAGUGCUUGCCUUGCAUGCAUGAAGCCUUUGGUUUGAUUCCUUAGUACCA
RNAcentral lists this transfer RNA (65 nucleotides) under Dipodomys ordii (Ord's kangaroo rat). It matches the Rfam family "tRNA". From Rfam's summary of the family: Transfer RNA (tRNA) molecules are approximately 80 nucleotides in length. The record is from Rfam by way of RNAcentral. Lineage: Eukaryota; Metazoa; Chordata; Mammalia; Rodentia; Heteromyidae.